GGAAAGGCAGAGGGUCCUUGGUGAAAUAGACACCCCCAUCUCCAUGGUUUAGUUCCACCAGCUGCUCUGGCUGUCAGGGGGACUGUGAGGUGUGACUAGGUGAGGCCAUCCCCUGGCAGCCAGGGCCCUUCCAGCACGGAGUUUGCACAUUUGGCUUGGUAAUGACACAACGGCUGCUGUGACCCUCCCAGAAUGGAGAAGCAGUGGCCAAGGCAAGACUUCAGCACCCAGGAGAUGUGAAGCUCAUUCAAAGAGUUGAUAAAGUGCUGCAGUUUGAAAGUUGCUGUAGAACAUUUCAACAGAACAAAUGAGAAAUUACCAGCUCUUAAUCGGGACAGGCAAGGUAAGGUAUUGUCUUGCAUCAAAAUUUUUUUAAUAUUUAUUUAUUUAUCUGAAAGUCAGAGUUACACAGAGAGAGAAGGAAAGGCAGAGAGAGAGAGGUCUUCCAUCUGCUGGAUCAUUCCCCAACUGGCUGCAAUGGCUGGAGCUGCGCCGAUCCAAAGCCAGAUCCAGGAGUUUCUUCCAGGUCUCCCACAUGGGUGCAGGGGCCCAAGCAUUUGGGCCAUCUUCCACUGCUUUCCCAGGUCAUAGCAGAGAUCUGGAUCAGAAAUGGAGCAGCCAGGACUUGAACUGCCACCCAUAUGGGAUGCCGGCACUGCAGGUGGUGGCUUUACUGGCUACUCCACAGCACUGGGCCCUCAAAUUUAAAUUUAUUUAUUACGUAAAAGAGAAAAGUUUAGAU
Molecule: non-coding RNA, 742 nt
Organism: Oryctolagus cuniculus (rabbit)
Lineage: Eukaryota; Metazoa; Chordata; Mammalia; Lagomorpha; Leporidae
Source: RefSeq, a predicted model, not a curated record